UCUAUAGAAUCCUAGUCCUGCAUUUAACUGCACACAGCAAACCCCACCCACUAUACAUUCUGCAACAAAAUCAACAAUCCUGACACAGCUCCCAGUGGGCGGAAUGAGCAUCCCCUGCAUCUGAGACAGAAGCCGAGCUAAAUCCAGAAUCCAUCCGCCAAUCACUGAAGAGGCAGAGUAAGAAACCAUGACUUGCAGUCAAAUACAAGAUGUAUGACCGGGAUGAUGGAUGGAUAUGUCCUAAAUAAUGCUGAAGACUCUCUACGAAACCUCUCAGUCUUCUCAGAGCUCCCUGGAUGUCUACAAAGAGGUCUGGGGCCUAUUCAUUGAACAUGACGUUUCAUCAACAAGCAAAGGAUGAUAUGGACAUGGCUCAGACAUUUGCUUCUCAACUUUCAAAUAAAUCAGCGUGUCUACAGGCACAGAAUGGAGUCUGACAAGAGACACAGAACAACUGGAAAGGAAUUAGAAACAAUCAUGAAAAAGAGCAAAUGGACAUUAGUGAGGGCAGGGGAAAUGGCACCUUUGGGGAUAGACCUCUCUAAACAAUUACCCUGGAAGACUAUAACAUUAAUUAAAGGGUCAUAAAAAUGAUACAGUACUUACAGGAGCAGAGCAAGGCCCCUGUGAUAAGAAAUCAGAUGAAUUCUCUGUUUGGAUAGAAAUGUGGACAUUAGCAUGUGAGCUCAGGGGUCUGGGGUACUUUCUUUAAUGAAAAAAAUAUGUGCACCAUUUAUAUAAGAAACCUGACUGUAUGCAGUGCAAAUCUCCCUU
This is a long non-coding RNA of Xenopus laevis (African clawed frog), 774 nucleotides long. RefSeq lists it as uncharacterized. The record is from RefSeq and is a predicted model, not a curated record. NCBI's taxonomy places the organism in Eukaryota, Metazoa, Chordata, Amphibia, Anura, Pipidae. The transcript is spliced from 3 exons.